CUUUUACAAUGAAGAGUUUGAUCCUGGCUCAGGAUGAACGCUAGCUACAGGCUUAACACAUGCAAGUCGAGGGGCAGCAUUUCAGUUGCUUGCAAACUGGAGAUGGCGACCGGCGCACGGGUGAGUAACACGUAUCCAACCUGCCGAUAACUCGGGGAUAGCCUUUCGAAAGAAAGAUUAAUACCCGAUGGUAUAAUCAGACCGCAUGGUCUUGUUAUUAAAGAAUUUCGGUUAUCGAUGGGGAUGCGUUCCAUUAGGCAGUUGGUGAGGUAACGGCUCACCAAACCUUCG
Molecule: ribosomal RNA, 291 nt
Filed under: Bacteroides thetaiotaomicron
Lineage: Bacteria; Pseudomonadati; Bacteroidota; Bacteroidia; Bacteroidales; Bacteroidaceae
Description: partial 16S ribosomal RNA
Rfam family: Bacterial small subunit ribosomal RNA
Source: RNAcentral